This 533-nucleotide ribosomal RNA is filed under the name uncultured bacterium. RNAcentral's name for it is "bacterial SSU rRNA". It matches the Rfam family "Bacterial small subunit ribosomal RNA", at positions 95 to 630 of the family's 1533-position model. The record is from RNAcentral.
ACGGCGCACGGGUGCGUAACACGUGGGUAAUCUGCCCUUCGAUGGGGAAUAACUCGCCGAAAGGCGAGCUAAUUCCGCAUAACAUUCCGGGGACUUUGGUUCCUGGAUUCAAAGGCGUAAGUCGCCGGAGGAGGAGCCCGCGCACGAUUAGCUAGUUGGUGAGGUAAUGGCUCACCAAGGCAAUGAUCGUUAGCUGGUCUGAGAGGAUGGCCAGCCACACUGGAACUGAGACACGGUCCAGACUCCUACGGGAGGCAGCAGUGGGGAAUCUUGCACAAUGGGCGAAAGCCUGAUGCAGCGACGCCGCGUGGGGGAUGAAGCUUCUCGGAGUGUAAACCCCUUUCGACCCGGACGAAUGCCCCGCAAGGGGACUGACGGUACGGGUAUAAGAAGCCCCGGCUAACUACGUGCCAGCAGCCGCGGUAAGACGUAGGGGGCCAGCGUUGUUCGGAAUUACUGGGUGUAAAGGGUUCGUAGGCGGUGUGGCAAGUCGGGAGUGAAAUUUCUGGGCUCAACCCAGAAACUGCUUCCGA